Long non-coding RNA from Peromyscus maniculatus bairdii (prairie deer mouse), 4405 nucleotides. RefSeq lists it as uncharacterized. The record is from RefSeq and is a predicted model, not a curated record. NCBI's taxonomy places the organism in Eukaryota, Metazoa, Chordata, Mammalia, Rodentia, Cricetidae.
UGCGUAACAGAAACCAGUUAUGAAAUGCAGAUAACAGAGCCCAGGUGGCCACCAUUCUUUCCCAGCUCCAGGGGAGAAGUCCUGGGAAACACAGCCUUAGGCCGGCAGCUGGCUCAGAGGCCCCUGGAUUCCUUUGACUCUGAGAUAAGUUCACAGAUCCUACCAUCAUGCAACAGGGAGUUCCCAGAGCAAAUGCUUCCUCCCUCGGAGUAGCUGUGAGUGCAGGGCUCUGGCCGGAAGAGGCUGCAGUCCACAGUGCUCUGGAGGAAACUGCCACUUCAUGUCAACUCACUCAGCCUCCUCAGCGUGAGUCCUCAUUUGCCAAAGGCAUAACUGGGCAGCAGUUGCCGCUCUUCAAGACAGCAGAAUGCAGGGGACCUGGAGAGUAGCCGGGCAGAUGGGAGCCCCCAGUGCCUCCAGGCACACAAAGUUGAUCAGCCUCAUCGAUUUUAGCCCACCGGCUUAACGAAAGGAAAAGUCUCAUUUAUGCGUCUCAAGCUGUAAACAAAACGUUUUGGCUUCCAUGGAGGGAGGGAUGACUCAGAAGCCCGGCUCAGCAUUAGUCACAGCCUUCCUCUGUGAGCCUUCUUUUGUCAAAAGAGAGGCUGGACUACAGUGAUGACUUGAAGCUGAAGCUCCCAGUUCCCAUUCAGCAUCAUGAGAGAGGCUGUGAAGCAGCCAUGGAAAGAAACCAACCAGAAUUCCAAAGCAGACCUAUCCAAAAGUCAAAUCGAUUCCUGGGAAGACCCACCCUGAAGUGUGGGAAGACCCACCCUGAAGUGGUGGACAGCACCAUUGCAUGGGUCGGGUCCUGACCUAUGCGAAAGUGAGAACACUGGCUGAGCAGGAGCAAAAAGCAAUCAAGUAUGAGUUUAUUCUCUCUUUGCUCUGGACCAUGGGUGAUAUGACUAACUGCUUAAGUUCCAAAUGAUGGACUGUAACCUAGAAUUAAUUGUAUGUAAAAUGGAUCCAACCUCUCCUCGGUUGCUGUUUGUCAAGAUACGCAUCACAGCGACAUAAAUUAAAACAAGACUCAGGUGAACUUUGAAAACCUUAUGCCAAAUCUAGACAUGCAGAGGACCACAGGGCUCAUGAUUUAAAGUCCACCAACGGUCUGUAUUUGGCAAAACUGCAGGGACAUCAAGUAAGUUACUAGUUGCCUGGGGCUGCAGGUUGGAGAUAGUAAGAGAGUAGUGACUAAAGACUAUGAGAUUAUAAAGUUGCUUUAAGGUAGAUGUAAAGUGGUGGUAAUGGUUGCACAAUAUUGUGAAGAUAAUAAAACUCAUUUUUUUAAAGUAAUAUACUACAGUACAGACAUGACUAGCAUUCCUUUUGAGAAAUUCCUACCAAAAUCACAUGAUCAGCAUCUAAUUAUGGGGAAACAUCAGAUAAAGGCAUCUGUGAAGAUCCACAGAGGCUAUCUAGUGAGAAAUCACUCAGGGUCAGAGAAUCUAAGCUUGCUUUACCAGCAGGACUGCAUAAAAUGAUGAUUUGGCCACAGGCAUGCUUACCAGGUGUUUGGAAGGAUCUACACUUGGCUGUGUGGUGUGCUUUGAUCUUGCAAGGGGGAGGUCUUUUGCCUCUCCCCUUGUCAUAUUAUAAAAAGCCCUUUAGAAUAAAGUUCUGGGCAGCUGAGUAUUGACCCAAGGCCCUCUCAAAGCUAUCCUGUGUCUCUGUCUUUCUCCUCAUUGUCUAGGUCUAUCUUUCUACCUAAUAGUUCCCCAUUCCUCUCUCCUCCACCUGAGAACCCUUCGAAAGGUGGGAGCAGGUUGGAGCUGGACUCUGGCAGACUCCCACAGGCAUCAUCCAGAAUAGCUGGUCUAUCUUUUGUAGGAGUCAUGGUCAAGAGAGAUAACAAAGAACUGCAAAGAGUUCCCAGAAAGAACAAGUGAGACAUGCAAGGUGGACCUGGAUCUUAGAGGCCCAACUGUCUUUCUUCUAUAAGCUGAUCAGUGAGGCAACGUCCUUCAUCUUAGUUCUUAUAACUUGCAUAUUCUAAUUUGCACCUCCAUAACUAUCAAUGGUGUCUUACAGCUAUCCAUAACUUCCCAGCCUUUUGAGUUUUGUGAAUAUUGAUUACUUAUGUAAUUGGCCAAUUUUUCUACAUUUUUCUUCAAUUUUGCGAGUUUUAGCAGUAGUUCAAUAUGCAUUAAAAUAUCUCCCUCCAUCUGAUCAUUACCCCCUUGACUUAUCCUAUGACUUGCCCACAAGUUGGACAGAGGCCUUGGGUAGAGGACUGAGCCUAUGGCCUCAGCCUAUGGAGUCAGAGGAGCUGUUUGCAGGUGGAACUUCUUCUUGUGGUGGAGGUCAGGAGCCUGAAGCUCCUUCUGCUUCCCCUUUCCAUUCCUGGCCAUGAGGUGAGCAGCCGCCUCUGUCAUACGUUCAUGAUGACAUACCACCUCACCACAAGCCACAAAGCAAUGAACCAACGAACAACUAGCCACAGGCUGAAUCCUCCAAAACCAUGAACCCAGGUGAACUUUUCUGCUUUUUGUGUUGAUUAUCUCAGGUGUUUUUUUUGCAGCCAUGCAAAGUUGAUAGCUUCAUGUCUAGUACAAUUUGAUAUUCAGAACCGUAUGUACAGUCAAGUAUAUCGGUCUCUCCUAAUAUAUAAUACCUUCCUGGUUUAUUGACUUUGAUUAAGAAGUCUCCCUGCCGGGCAGUGGUGGCACACGCCUUUAAUCCCAGCACUCAGGAGGCAGAGCCAGGUGGAUCUCUGUGAGUUCGAGGCCAGCAUGGACUACCAAGUGAGUCCCAGGAAAGGUGCAAAGCUACACAGAGAAACCCUGUCUCGAAAAACAACAACAACAAAAAAAGUCUCCCCUAUCACAAGCAUAAAAACAUGGCUCCUUGCAUUUUUGUUUUGUGAUUUUUGAAUUAAAUACUUUUACAUUUGAUUUGUGUAGGAUGUUUUGUAAUAUAGAUGAAGGAGGGAGUUCGAUUUUUCUUUUUCUAAAAAUGAUUUUUUUUUUUUUUGGUUUUAUGUGUGCAUGCACGUGUGUGUGCAGAUGCCAGAAGAGGAUGUCAGAUCUCCUGGAGCUGGAGUGACAAGCAGUUAUGAGCCACCGAUAUGGGUGCCGAGAACUCAGCUUGGGUCCUCUGGAAGAGCGGUGAGCGUUCUUAACCGCUGAGCCAUCUUUACAGACCCCUCUUCUCUUGUUUGGUGGAGACUUAGUGGCGCCAACACCUGUGAUAGGUAAAUCAUAAACCGACUCAAGAGAGACAGCACGGCAUGGGCAGCACUCAACAAGCAGGUAGCCUGAUCUGGGAUAUCCGCUCCACUGCUUUCUGUCUGUGUGACCUCAGGUUUGGGUGCCGGCUAGUUUUCAUGCCAACUUGACACAGGUUAGAAUCAACUGGGAAGAGAGAAUAUCAGUUGAGAAAAUGCUCCUAUGAGAUUGCCCCGUCGGAACGCCUGCAGGACACUUUCUCGGUAGGAUGAUUGACAUGGGAGGACCCAGUCCAUUGAAGGUGUCACUAUCCUGAAGUCAGCUUGGCCACAGUGACCUCACACAGGUAAACAGAAGAAAAGAAGGGGGCGUGGUAUCUCUAUCACUGCCCUCAGCCUGCCUGCCUGCCUGCCUGCCCACCCCUGGUGCCCCGAGACUGACUUUUCCUUCAGACAACUGAGGGCAAAGUUUCCAGAGUUUGGAAACACUUCAACCCUAAUGACACCACGGUUUUCUCCACUGCAGGUACUCAAGGCCAAUUUAUUGUGAGAAGAGAAAUGGAAAAGCACGGAAGGACAGACCUCUCCCCCCACCCCCCCACCCCCGUCCUGACCGCUCUAUGACACUGUUCUUGCUCUGAGGCCCUUUGAACCCACUUUUCUUUUUUUUUUAAAGAUUUAUUUAUUCAUUAUGUAUACAGUGAUCUUCCUGCAUGUAUGUCUGCAGGCCAGAAGAAGGCACCAGAUCUCAUUAGCUAUUUUCAGUCAACUCCUACCACUGACAACUGCCAUAGACCAAAGUUAACCCUCAAUGAGUUCUACAGGACACCCAGCUAUGCGUGGUUCCCUAGUCCCCCUGCCAUGGGAGCCCAGCUAUGUCAGGAAGAGCUGCAGGUUUGGGGCAAACAUCAAUGAGCUGUGUCCGGAAAGACUGUGGGGAUAUAUACAAGUAUCAACUAGCGGGACUCCUCUAAAACCUCGUUAAUGAAAAGUUGUAAAACCAUUUGUCUCUAAAAGUUUAACUUUGGAAUUGUAAAAAUCUUUUGUCCAUGCCUAAUGCUUUCCCCCUGAUAUACAAGGGGGGCUUGACACCUGCCCUGAUGGCCACAGCCUCAGAAUCCUGAACUCUGGCUGUGGUCUCAGCUAGCUGGUAAGCUUUUGUGUCCUACAGUGACUUUCUUUUCUUUCUUUGAUUUUUUUUUUUCCUGGAAUAAAGUUUGCUUCUGGUUUAAUAGA